AGUGAACGCUGGCGGUAGGCCUAACACAUGCAAGUCGAACGGCAGCACAGGGGAGCUUGCUCUCUGGGUGGCGAGUGGCGGACGGGUGAGGAAUACAUCGGAAUCUACUCUGUCGUGGGGGAUAACGUAGGGAAACUUACGCUAAUACCGCAUACGACCUACGGGUGAAAGCAGGGGACCUUCGGGCCUUUCGCGAUUGAAUGAGCCGAUGUCGGAUUAGCUAGUUGGCGGGGUAAAGGCCCACCAAGGCGACGAUCAGUAGCUGGUCUGAGGGGAUGAGCAGCCACACUGGAACUGAGACACGGUCCAGACUCCUACGGGAGGCAGCAGUGGGGAAUAUUGGGCAAUGGGCGCAAGCCUGAUGCAGCCAUGCCGCGUGGGUGAAGAAGGCCUUCGGGUUGUAAAGCCCUUUUGUUGGGAAAGAAAUCCAGCUGGCUAAUACCCGGUUGGGAUGACGGUACCCAAAGAAUGAGCACCGGCUAACUUCGUGCCAGCCGCCGCAGUAA
RNAcentral lists this ribosomal RNA (506 nucleotides) under uncultured bacterium. Its description in RNAcentral is "partial 16S ribosomal RNA". It matches the Rfam family "Bacterial small subunit ribosomal RNA", at positions 29 to 523 of the family's 1533-position model. The record is from RNAcentral.